Molecule: ribosomal RNA, 253 nt
Filed under: uncultured bacterium
Lineage: Bacteria
Description: partial 16S ribosomal RNA
Rfam family: Bacterial small subunit ribosomal RNA
Source: RNAcentral
UACGGAGGGUGCGAGCGUUGUCCGGAAUCAUUGGGCGUAAAGCGCACGUAGGCGGCUCCAAAAGUCGGAUGUGAAAUCCCUGGGCUCAACCGAGGAAGUGCAUCCGAAACUGCGGAGCUUGAGUAUGGAAGAGGGUCGCGGAAUUCCCGGUGUAGAGGUGAAAUUCGUAGAUAUCGGGAGGAACACCAGUGGCGAAGGCGGCGACCUGGGCCAAUACUGACGCUGAGGUGCGAAAGCGCGGGGAGCAAACAGG